RNAcentral lists this ribosomal RNA (306 nucleotides) under uncultured bacterium. RNAcentral's name for it is "partial 16S ribosomal RNA". It matches the Rfam family "Bacterial small subunit ribosomal RNA", at positions 507 to 807 of the family's 1533-position model. The record is from RNAcentral.
GACAGCAGUCGCCGCGGUAAUACAGAGGGUGCGAGCGUUAAUCGGAUUUACUGGGAGUAAAGCGUGCGUAGGCGGCUUCUUAAGUCGGAUGUGAAAUCCCUGAGCUUAACUUAGGAAUUGCAUUCGAUACUGGGAAGCUAGAGUAUGGGAGAGGAUGGUAGAAUUCCAGGUGUAGCGGUGAAAUGCGUAGAGAUCUGGAGGAAUACCGAUGGCGAAGGCAGCCAUCUGGCCUAAUACUGACGCUGAGGUACGAAAGCAUGGGGAGCAAACAGGAUUAGAUACCCCGGUAGUCCCUGUCUCUUAUAC